Molecule: RNA transcript, 1855 nt
Organism: Prosopis cineraria
Lineage: Eukaryota; Viridiplantae; Streptophyta; Magnoliopsida; Fabales; Fabaceae
Gene name: protein TONSOKU-like
Exons: 3
Source: RefSeq, a predicted model, not a curated record
CCCGCAAAGCCAAUCCAAUUUGCUAAUGCAUUAAGUUUGUCCUAGUGCUAUCAGAUUUGUGAAUGGCCUGCACUAUUUGCUCGACUGGAAGUGCUGAACAUUUCUGGGAAAUGGGAACCGUCUUACUGAUGCAUGUGGGUGUUAUCUUUCAACAAUAUUAGUGUACAGCUCUCUGUAGCUUGAAUGUGGAGAACUGUCAUAUCACGACCAGAACUAUCCAGAAGAUUGGUGAUGCAUUGGACUCUAACUCUGCACUUGCUCAGCUUUGUAUAGGUAUAUCAUGAAUCUAACAUGUAUUUCCGAAUUCCCGAGAUAAGCUAUUUUGUUUAAUGGCAAGUCCAUCUUUGACAGCAUACAAUAGUCCUGUAGCUGGAAAUGCUAGUUAAUCUUCUCGACAAGCUUUCUACAAUGAAAAGGUAGAUCAAAUUAGAUUUAGAUGCACGGUACAACCUAGGUAGCAUUUUUUUAAAAUUGCAUUAUUUUGAUAUACAGAAAUAAAUCAAAUUAAAUUGCAUUUGUUCACUAAAGGUUUUCUGAGCUGAAAUUUGAGUGGUCUAAAACUGGGCAAACCAGCUGUUGAUUCCUUGUGCAAGCUUGCUGGGAAUACAAAUUUGUCAGGACCGAUGCUCGGAAGCACGGGUGUUGGAACUGUGAGUGGAAUUGAUUUCUUGCUGUUUGCUCGUGUCUUUGUUGGUUAUUGAUAUACUCGAUACCUGCAAACGCCAGCAUGCAUAUCUAAUUUUGUUUGGAGAGGGAUUUUUUUUGCAGGAAGGGGCAAUACAAUUAGCAGAAUCAUUGUCCAGAGGGACUCGAGCUUGUGAAACUUGAUCUAUCAGAUUGUCAAGUCAUAUUUAAUUUUGUUGCAAACUCCAGUUUUAAUUUAUUCUGUUCCGUGCUUGAGCUUAAUCUGGAAGGAAAUUCUAUUAAGCCAGAGGCUUGUUGCCUGUAGCUAGGGAUUUAUAUUACUAGUAUUCCUAGCAUGCACUUUUAUUUGUCCGGUUUUGUUUGCAUAUUAUCAUAUAUCGCUCUGACUUUCGGCAUUUUAGAAUGUAGGUGCUCUUACAAUUUCUUUACCAGUUGAAUUUUAUUGGCAUGUGUGCGUAGCAAGUUCUGACAUCUAUAAUAAAUACAGGGAAGCAAUUCUCUUGCUUCUCUUCUCAUGAAACCACAGUGCUGCCUAAAAGUUUUGGACCUUAGAAAGUGUCAACUUGGGCUUGCCGGGAUACUUCGCAUGACGAAGGCGCUAGCAGGUAGACAAUACGCCAAGAGAACAUAUCUGGGACUCGUGAGGAGAAUUUACCCAUGAUAGUGGAAGAUAGUGAAGAGCCCCUUUGCGUUCUUAACACUGACUAUCAUAUGCCUGAAGUUGUUGACAGUGAAGAUGGUCCGGUUAAUUCGGAUGCUAAUGGAAUUGAUGACAGUGGUGCUAAUUCGGAUCAAAGAAAUUCUCCAUCCCCUGAGUGCAAAUUCAUUCCGCAACUUUCAACUGCUAUGGCUAUGGCAAAACAGUUGCAAUGGCUUGACAUUAGCGAUAAUGGUUUCUCUGCCGAAUCUGCGGAAACAUUUUAUAGUUCUUGGUCAUCAACAUUACGAGCCGUUUCAAGUCAGAAGCAUAUUAGAGAGAGCAUUGUUCAUCUCUCAACCAAAGAAAAUAAGUGCUGCAGGGUGAAACCAUGCUGCAAGAACGAUUGAUUUCGUUGCUCAUUUUAUUGGUUUGCAUAGGAGGCGUCGUAGUUCUAUGACAAAUUUUUGGAGCCAUUUAUAUGGAUCUUUUCCGGUUACUGCAUGUCAAUUGUAUCUUGUAAGGAAAUCCUCGGGUGCUCGAGUUAAGCAUUUCGCUGAAAAAACAUGUCUA